AGAGUUUGAUCAUGGCUCAGAUUGAACGCUGGCGGCAUGCCUUACACAUGCAAGUCGAACGGUAACGCGGGGCAACCUGGCGACGAGUGGCGAACGGGUGAGUAAUGUAUCGGAACGUGCCCAGUAGUGGGGGGAUAGCCCGGCGAAAGCCGGAUUAAUACCGCAUACGACCUACGGGUGAAAGGGGGGGAUCGCAAGACCUCUCGCUAUUGGAGCGGCCGAUAUCAGAUUAGGUAGUUGGUGGGGUAAAGGCCUACCAAGCCGACGAUCUGUAGCUGGUCUGAGAGGACGACCAGCCACACUGGGACUGAGACACGGCCCAGACUCCUACGGGAGGCAGCAGUGGGGAAUUUUGGACAAUGGGCGCAAGCCUGAUCCAGCCAUGCCGCGUGCGGGAAGAAGGCCUUCGGGUUGUAAACCGCUUUUGUCAGGGAAGAAAUCCUUUGGGCUAAUACCCCGGAGGGAUGACGGUACCUGAAGAAUAAGCACCGGCUAACUACGUGCCAGCAGCCGCGGUAAUACGUAGGGUGCAAGCGUUAAUCGGAAUUACUGGGCGUAAAGCGUGCGCAGGCGGUUGUGUAAGACAGAUGUGAAAUCCCCGGGCUCAACCUGGGAACUGCAUUUGUGACUGCACAGCUGGAGUGCGGCAGAGGGGGAUGGAAUUCCGCGUGUAGCAGUGAAAUGCGUAGAUAUGCGGAGGAACACCGAUGGCGAAGGCAAUCCCCUGGGCCUGCACUGACGCUCAUGCACGAAAGCGUGGGGAGCAAACAGGAUUAGAUACCCUAGUAGUCC
Molecule: ribosomal RNA, 792 nt
Filed under: uncultured bacterium
Lineage: Bacteria
Description: bacterial SSU rRNA
Rfam family: Bacterial small subunit ribosomal RNA
Source: RNAcentral